Molecule: ribosomal RNA, 517 nt
Filed under: uncultured bacterium
Lineage: Bacteria
Description: bacterial SSU rRNA
Rfam family: Bacterial small subunit ribosomal RNA
Source: RNAcentral
GGACGAACGCUGGCGGCGUGCCUAAUACAUGCAAGUCGAACGGUCUUUCUAUGGAAGCUUGCUCCACUGAGAAGAUAGUGGCGAACGGGUGAGUAACACGUGGGUAACCUGCCCAUAAGAGGGGGAUAACAUCCGGAAACGGGUGCUAAUACCGCAUAGUUUUCUUGAUUGCAUGAUUGAGAAAGGAAAGACGGCCUUUGUGCUGUCGCUUAUGGAUGGACCCGCGGCGUAUUAGUUAGUUGGUGAGGUAACGGCUCACCAAGACGAUGAUACGUAGCCGACCUGAGAGGGUGAUCGGCCACAUUGGGACUGAGACACGGCCCAAACUCCUACGGGAGGCAGCAGUAGGGAAUCUUCCGCAAUGGACGAAAGUCUGACGGAGCAACGCCGCGUGAGUGAAAGAAGGUUUUCGGAUCGUAAAACUCUGUUGUCAGAGAAGAACAAGUUGGAGAGUAACUGCUCCAGCCUUGACGGUAUCUGACCAGAAAGCCACGGCUAACUACGUGCCAGCCGCCGC